This 253-nucleotide ribosomal RNA is filed under the name uncultured bacterium. Its description in RNAcentral is "partial 16S ribosomal RNA". It matches the Rfam family "Bacterial small subunit ribosomal RNA", at positions 524 to 776 of the family's 1533-position model. The record is from RNAcentral.
UACGUAAGGGGCAAGCGUUGUCCGGAAUCACUGGGCGUAGAGGGCGCGUAGGCUGUUUGGUAAGUAGAGGGUGAAAGAUUCGGGCUCAACCCGAAAACUGCCUUCUAAACUGCCUUACUUGAGGGUCUGAGGGGAAGCUGGAAUUCACGGUGUAGCGGUGAAAUGCGUAGAUAUCAGGAGGAACACCGGUGGUGUAGACGGCUUUCUGGACCGUAACUGACGCUGAGACACGAAAGCGUGGGUAGCAAACAGG